Molecule: ribosomal RNA, 253 nt
Filed under: uncultured bacterium
Lineage: Bacteria
Description: partial 16S ribosomal RNA
Rfam family: Bacterial small subunit ribosomal RNA
Source: RNAcentral
UACGUAGGGGGCGAGCGUUAUCCGGAAUUACUGGGCGUAAAGCGCACGCAGGCGGUUCGCCAAGUUUGGAGUGACAGUUGUCGGCUCAACCGGCAAAGGACUUCAAAAACUGGUGAACUUGAGGACGAGAGAGGAACAUGGAACUCCAGGUGUAGUAGUGAAAUGCGUAGAUAUCUGGAAGAACACCAAUGGCGAAGGCAAUGUUCUGGCUCGUUUCUGACGCUCAGGAGCGAAAGCGUGGGGAGCGAACAGG